GCAAAUCAAUGUGGAAAUGACAAAGAGAGCCAUGGAGGGAAACCCCCUAGAAAGACUGAACUGGACCCUAAAGGAUCAGAGAGAGGAAGAAGCUGGAAGUAAUGCAAAGAGUCCCAAAGUGAGAAGAUUCCAGUUUUAAGUCCUGGUUCUGAUCCACAUCUGCCUUAGGCCUUGGAUAAUCCCUUAAGUGCUAAAGCAGGAAGAAGUUAACCAAAGAAAAGUGGAACCAAGAACGUGGGCAGAGGCCAACUAAUGCCCUUUUGAAUGCCUCUACAGCCAAAGAGCCUCCUAGUGAUUAUAUGAUUAUUCAACAUGAACCAGUUAAAGAAUGUCUACACAUGUUCCAAAGCCUUUCCAACAUACUUCCACUAUGUGUCUUUCAGAAGUUGGCUUCCCAAACAAACCCUUCUCUGUGGGUAAUCAGAUGCAGUCUGAGCAGCCUCUUUGGACCUCCAUUUCCUCAUCUAUAAAGAGAGAAGAUUGGGCCAGAUGAUAUCUAAUGACCCUUCCAGCUCUAAAUCCUUGAUCUUGAUGAAGUGGGAAGAGCAUCAGCCUCUGGAAUCAGACUAUCUGAGUUCAUACCCCACUUCUGACACUACCUGUGCGACUUCGUGUGACCUUCCUCUGUCCCAGUUUACAUAUGCAUAAAAUAAGGGAUUAAAAUUCAUGGCCUUCUAAGACCCUUUGAAUGCCACCUUUGUUGUUAUGUCAUCCUUUAGUUGUUCAAUUGUAUCCAAUUCCUCAUGACCCCAUUUGGAGUUUUCUAGACAAAAACAUUAGAGUGGCUUCUCCUAUGGAUUAGACAAAUAGGUUUAAAAUGCUCAGAAUCACACAGCUAGUAAAUGGCUGAGGCUGGAUUUGAAUUCAGUUCUUUCUGA
This is a long non-coding RNA of Monodelphis domestica (gray short-tailed opossum), 878 nucleotides long. RefSeq lists it as uncharacterized. The record is from RefSeq and is a predicted model, not a curated record. NCBI's taxonomy places the organism in Eukaryota, Metazoa, Chordata, Mammalia, Didelphimorphia, Didelphidae.